RNAcentral lists this unclassified non-coding RNA (297 nucleotides) under Hevea brasiliensis (rubber tree). The record is from RNAcentral. Lineage: Eukaryota; Viridiplantae; Streptophyta; Magnoliopsida; Malpighiales; Euphorbiaceae.
AUUUUUACCAAUAUUUUUUAUUUUAUCUUAUUUUAAUCUCUUAAUAUUUUACAUUUUUAUUUUAAUUCUUAUAUUUUAUCAAGAUUUCAUUCAAUUUUUUAAUAUUUAUUUAACCCCUCAAGAUGAAUUUCUAGUUUCACCUCUGCAUAUAAUGUUAUCAUGUUGCUAUAACUCACUCCAAAAUCUGAGCAAAGAUAGGUUGAGUACACUACACUAAAGCUAGACCCAAACAUAAUAACUUGGACAUAUCUCUACCAAUCUCUAUCAAGGAUCGAUCGGUCAAGCUCGAGGUCUCGU